UUUAUAAUUAAAAUUAGUUAUUUAUUUUUUAUAAAAAUAAUAUACCAGGAAACCAUGAUUAUAUUAUUAUGAAUAAGAAUCCUAUCUUUGGCUGGACCGAGUGCGGCCAGACUUGAGUCUAGUACAUUCUUAAAUUUCCAGCUUGUCUGAUUAAUAACUCGAUGAUGUGGGUUAUUAAUUAGAAUUAGGUUGUAGCUCCAGCGUUAGGUAAAAUGGCUAUUCUUGAGAUUUUUUACUAAUGCGACAAUAGGGAUUCCAUUGAAUUAGAAUAUUAGUGUUUAAUACCUAGUUUAUUUGUAUUUAAUUACUAAAUAUUACUUCUCAAAUUAAUAAGAAGUACAGUGGGGUUGUUUUGUAUUUUUAAUUGUAAUUUUAAUUUGAUAUAUUAUUUUUAAUUAAAUUAUUUACAUUUCGAGAUAUCCCAGAAGAGCAGGGUUCUUUAUAAAUUCGGAAAAUUGAAUUUUCAAUUUAAGAUUUUUAUAAUAAUUCUCUGUCAUUUAAAGAGCAGGUUGGUAAGUAAGGUCAGGGGUUAAUUCUUUGAUUACUAAUACCAUGGUAAACGUGUCAGUAUUAUGGCGCUGGGAAAUUUAAUUAGUCACUCGUCCAAUCUGAAGUUUUAUAAUAGUUCUUCUGUACAAAAACUAUUUGUCCGCCUUUAAAUAUAACGGAUCAAGGAAUAUUAUUUAAGAUAUUUUAUUUUAUUUUGUUUUAUUAAUAUGAUUAAGGUAGUAAUAAUGUUUUUGAAAUUUUAAUUUAAGUAGUAGAAUUAUUUGUUGGAUUUUAUUAAUAUUUUAGAUUUGUUUUUUUAUUACUUGAUAUUGCAUUAGUUUUUUAUCGACCAUGAUUCGAAUAAUAAUUUAUAAAGUUAAUUAUUUAAUAUCCAAUAAUUAAAAAUCUCGAAUAGGGGAUUUUUUAAUUAUUUAAUUAUGAAAUAUGAUUUUUUAAUUUAUUUUCGUAAUUAAAAUUUUUUAAUUUAAAAAAGAAUUCUUUGAUUUAUAUAAUCCUUUGCUUAUUGUAAAGUAAAGAUAUUUAUUUAAUUAUUAUAAAUACUUUGUUAUUUAUAGUAAAUAAAUAUCUAGUUGGAUUUAACUCUAAUUAAAUAUGUUUAAUUUUAAAACUAUUUGGGACUAUGUUUUCCAUUUCUUUUAUUAAGGAUGAAUAAUAUUAAAUUUAAUUAUUAAUAAUUAAGUAAUUGUAAUGAUACUUUUAUAUUAAUUUUUUUAAUAAAGUUAUUUUAUAUGAUUCUGUUUUUAUUAAUUUUAAUAAAAAUAAUUUAAUUCAUUUGUAGUUUUUUUGUUUAUUAUUUAAUUAAAA
Molecule: ribosomal RNA, 1314 nt
Filed under: Locusta migratoria (migratory locust)
Lineage: Eukaryota; Metazoa; Arthropoda; Insecta; Orthoptera; Acrididae
Source: RNAcentral